This 308-nucleotide long non-coding RNA is filed under the name Lathyrus oleraceus (garden pea). RNAcentral describes it as "Pisum sativum (pea) long non-coding RNA (PSAT_LNC012305)". Lineage: Eukaryota; Viridiplantae; Streptophyta; Magnoliopsida; Fabales; Fabaceae. The record is from RNAcentral.
GAUAUAAAGGGGUUCGACAUCGACUAUUUAACUUUACUCAACUGAUUGAGUAUUUCAAAUGUAAUCAAGUCGUUUAAUUGGGACAGGUGCGUUUUUAUGAGUUCUAUUUUUCUUUUCUCUUUUUUUCUUUUUCCGGAGCAUUCAAAAAGCCUCCAAUUUUUUUCUUUCUCUUUUCUCUUUUCUUGUAACAAUUUUUCACACACUUGUCCCUUUUGUAUUAGAUUUACCACCCCAAACUUAGACUUCAACACAGUUUCCAAAAUCCACAACAUUUAUGCCGAGCAAGGGUAAAAGAGAUUAUUAUAUUU